RNAcentral lists this long non-coding RNA (366 nucleotides) under Nicotiana tabacum (common tobacco). RNAcentral's name for it is "long non-coding RNA (NTAB_LNC001502)". Lineage: Eukaryota; Viridiplantae; Streptophyta; Magnoliopsida; Solanales; Solanaceae. The record is from RNAcentral.
CUCAUUCUCCAGGUGGACGCCUGACUUCUUUAAUUCUUCACCCUCAUUCUCCAGGUGGACGCCUCACUUCUUCUUUUCUUUAUCCUCAUUCUCCAGGUGGACGCCUGACUUCUUUAAUUCUUCAUCCUCAUUCUCCAGGUAGAUGCCUGACUUCUUCUUUUCUUUGUCCUCAUUCUCCAGGUGGACGCCUGACUUCUUCUUCUUUUCUUUACCAGGUAUUUCCUGACACAAAUGUUGUAUUUGCCCCUGUUUUAAAUCAAAGAAAACUUCGUUAGUUUAAAGCAGGGUGGUUAACUGGGGUAUUCUUGCCGAUGGUGAGGCUUCUUUUCGUCUCUCUUUAUUGUCUUGGAAUGGUUGAAAAGACUG